RNAcentral lists this ribosomal RNA (465 nucleotides) under uncultured bacterium. RNAcentral's name for it is "bacterial SSU rRNA". It matches the Rfam family "Bacterial small subunit ribosomal RNA", at positions 198 to 644 of the family's 1533-position model. The record is from RNAcentral.
GGAGAAAAGCAGGGGAUCGCAAGACCUUGCGCUUUUGGAGCGGCCGAUGCCUGAUUAGCUUGUUGGUGAGGUAAAAGCUCACCAAGGCUCCGAUCAGUAGCUGGUCUGAGAGGACGACCAGCCACACUGGGACUGAGACACGGCCCAGACUCCUACGGGAGGCAGCAGUGGGGAAUUUUGGACAAUGGGGGCAACCCUGAUCCAGCCAUGCCGCGUGAGUGAAGAAGGCCUUCGGGUUGUAAAGCUCUUUCAGCCGGAACGAAACGGUCACGGUUAAUACCCGUGACUACUGACGGUACCGGAAGAAGAAGCACCGGCUAACUACGUGCCAGCAGCCGCGGUAAUACGUAGGGUGCGAGCGUUAAUCGGAAUUACUGGGCGUAAAGCGUGCGCAGGUGGUUUUGUAAGUCAGAUGUGAAAUCCCCGGGCUUAACCUGGGAACUGCGUUUGAAACUACAAAGCUAG